This 194-nucleotide ribosomal RNA is filed under the name uncultured bacterium. RNAcentral's name for it is "partial 16S ribosomal RNA". It matches the Rfam family "Bacterial small subunit ribosomal RNA", at positions 1307 to 1500 of the family's 1533-position model. The record is from RNAcentral.
GCAACUCGACUGCAUGAAGCUGGAAUCGCUAGUAAUCGCGGAUCAGAAUGCCGCGGUGAAUACGUUCCCGGGUCUUGUACACACCGCCCGUCACACCAUGGGAGUCAGUAACGCCCGAAGUCAGUGACCGAACCGAGAGGACGGAGCUGCCGAAGGCGGGACGGAUAACUGGGGUGAAGUCGUAACAAGGUAGC